Oncorhynchus tshawytscha (Chinook salmon) is the source of this 1332-nucleotide RNA transcript. It is a transcript of the gene named solute carrier organic anion transporter family member 1A1-like, with no coding region annotated. Lineage: Eukaryota; Metazoa; Chordata; Actinopteri; Salmoniformes; Salmonidae. The transcript is spliced from 5 exons. The record is from RefSeq and is a predicted model, not a curated record.
GGUUUCUGUACAGCACUUUUGAGAUAUCAGCUGAUGUAAGAAGGGCUAUAUAAAUAAGUUUGAUUUGAUUUUUGCCAAGGAAAGUGAAAAGGACUGAGGGAAAGUAAAAUGGAAAAUACUAAAAACGGACACAGAUUUAUUAUUUAUUCCCCCCCCCCAAUUUGUUUAUGUAUUUGUCUUAAUGAAUCUAAAUGGUAUUUUCUACAUACUUUCACGUUAGCAGUCCAUCAGGCCAAUAGAUGGCACUGUUGCACUGUUGUAGCAGGAGAAACAGCAAGUUCUGGUCAAGCGCUCAUCAUUCUGCAGAAUAAGGACCAGAACGUUACAGCAGUUCAUCGUGGCCCUGUCGCUUGCCUCCUUCACCAAAGCUCUGUCAGGGACCUACAUGAAGAGUGCCAUCACUCAGAGAGACACUUUGACCUGUCCAGCUUUCUCAUCGGACUCUUUGAGAUGGGUAACCUGCUGUUCCUGGCUGUGGUCAGCCAUUUUGGGGCGAAGCUGCACCGGCCCAGGCUCAUUGCUAUGGGCUGUUUCAUCAUUGCUGUAGAAUCCUUCCUCACAGGCCUGCCACACUUCUUCAUGGGAUGGUAAAACAACUGAAAUACUGGUUAAACUUGUACUUUUAGAGAUACUCUAAUGCGGAGGAUAGUUUCACUUUAGAAAUAAAUAAAUGUAUCCAGUUGUCGAUUAAUCUGAGUUAACUUAGAACUAGUCUUGCGUAAUUGGUCAGCUGCUUGAUUAUGUUUUGGGGCCAUACAUGUUAAGAGAAGGGAUUAAGAGAUGCUUUAACGGUGAUGUGGUAAAGUUGGACCCAGGUGCAGAGAAGAGACCAGAAGAUGAAGCAGUGGUUCCAACCAGUGUCUCCACCCCUCAAGGGCCCACUUAACUGCCAAGAGCUCCCGGUUACCUACAUCGUAGUUGCCUACCGGUGGUCGAGAACCGCUUGGAGAGAAAGGCUCAUAGGUGAAGUUUCUUGUCCUCCUCUUUUCGCUGUGAAAGGACCGCCCCAUCUCCGGUAUCCGAGAUGUCCACCUCUACCACAAAGGGGCGAGUAGGAUCAGGAUAAACGAGGAUGGGUCCGGAGGUGAAACGUCCCUUGAUCUCUGUGAAUGCCCUGUCAGCCUCGGGAUUCCUGCAAAAACCUGCUUGAGUGAGGUGGGACAGGGCCGUAUGUGUUCCUGAAGUGUUUUUGGAGAAGAUCAGGAUGUCGUCGAGAUUUUAAGCGUUGCAGAGGUCCAGUUUGGUGAAGAAUUGGGCUCCUAUGGCCAACUCCAAGGCGGCGGACAUCGGGUGAACAUCAUCACUCCCCAAUCAGUCAACAAUCAAUCAUCA